This 296-nucleotide long non-coding RNA is filed under the name Brassica napus (rape). RNAcentral describes it as "long non-coding RNA (BNAP_LNC016936)". The record is from RNAcentral. Lineage: Eukaryota; Viridiplantae; Streptophyta; Magnoliopsida; Brassicales; Brassicaceae.
CAAGGGUACAUGAAUAGAGUGAACCACCACUGACUGCUAUGUGUGAAUUAUUCAUAGAGCGUAAGUGCGUAAAUUGAGAUUUUAUCUUCUUCGUAUAAGUAAAUUGAGUAAAUGGAUUUGCAAGUUUAGGCAUGAGUGAUAUGAGACUGAAGAUAACACAUGAGUAAACGGGAUUCUCUACUAAAUGCUUGUUUAUACGCACUUUAGAUAGUUGAAAACAUCUCAACAAACAAUUACAUCUACAAACAUUCUUAUUAAUAACUCAUUAGAAAAUAUGAUAUAUUGUUAGGAUUUUU